This is a non-coding RNA of Erinaceus europaeus (western European hedgehog), 287 nucleotides long. Lineage: Eukaryota; Metazoa; Chordata; Mammalia; Eulipotyphla; Erinaceidae. The record is from Rfam.
GGAUAUGAGAGUGAUCUGGAUGCGACAUCUAUCACCCCAUUGAUCUACACAGUUGAUUUAACUGAUCUGACUGGCUAUGUGGGUGUCCUCUUCUUCUCUCACCUUCCUGGUGUGUCCUCCCAAAUCUGGUGGCUCCCCAAAUAGAGACAGAUGGAUCUUCUCAAGGGUAUAUGAUCAAAGUGCAAUUUGGAAUAUGUGCCCUCGGAGAAUACAUCAAUAUAUCCACCAGAGGGCACUAGAUAACCAGAAAAUUAUUCCAAAAAGCCUGUAGUUCUUUGAAAUUAUUU